AAACCAAGAAGAUUAAGUUAUGUAUUUUCGGUAAAAAGAUAGUUAAGCAUUAAAAUAAUAAGUUUUCUUAAUUAUUAUUAGGAAGUAAAAUUCGAAGAUAAUAUAGAAAUUUAGUUAAAACUAAAAAGCUGAAGCUAUGACACCCUUGAGGGAAACUGGGAUUAGAUACCCCACUAUUCUUGGAUAUAAAAAAUAUAUGUAUUACCAGAGUACUAUGGAUUGAUUACAUUUAAAACUCAAAGAGCUUGGCGGUGUUUUAGACUCUUUAGGGGAACCUGUCUCAUAAUCGACAAUCCACGUAAAACCUGACCUUUAUUUGCUUUCAGUUUGUAUACCGUCGUCGUCAGGUAACUUUUUAGAAGAAAGAAGUUAGCAACUGAGCUUUUAUAAACUCUUACGUCAGAUCAAGGUGCAGCUUAUAUAAAGGAGAGGAUGGGUUACAAUUAUAAAGAUUAUAAUUACGGAAUAACAAUUUUAAAUAAUAGCUUAUAAAGGAGGACUUAAAAGUAAAAUAAAAUAGAUAAAUAUAUUGAAUUGAGCUCUGAAACGUGC
This 552-nucleotide ribosomal RNA is filed under the name Rapana venosa (veined rapa whelk). RNAcentral's name for it is "partial 12S ribosomal RNA". Lineage: Eukaryota; Metazoa; Mollusca; Gastropoda; Neogastropoda; Muricidae. The record is from RNAcentral.